This 204-nucleotide long non-coding RNA is filed under the name Gossypium raimondii (Peruvian cotton). RNAcentral's name for it is "long non-coding RNA (GRAI_LNC001469)". Lineage: Eukaryota; Viridiplantae; Streptophyta; Magnoliopsida; Malvales; Malvaceae. The record is from RNAcentral.
UCGCUCGAAUUAUUCCCGAAGAUGCGAUCGAUGCCUACAUCAGCAACAAGUCUAAGAUCAGUGGGAGUAGUUAGCAAAUUAACAUUCUGCUUACUAUCUCCCUCUUGCAAAGACACAGUAGAAGCCUAGGGACAAAGUUUUAUCUCGUAGAAAUGAUACAAAAAAUUUAGCGGUUCCUCAUUGCCCCAUAGUAUUAAACCCAAC